Molecule: ribosomal RNA, 253 nt
Filed under: uncultured bacterium
Lineage: Bacteria
Description: partial 16S ribosomal RNA
Rfam family: Bacterial small subunit ribosomal RNA
Source: RNAcentral
UACGUAGGGGGCAAGCGUUGUCCGGACUCAUUGGGCGUAAAGAGCGUGUAGGCGGUCCGGUAAGUCGGCUGUGAAAGCCCCGGGCUCAACCUGGGAAUGGCAAUGGAAACUGGCGGGCUAGAGUGUGGCAGAGGGGGGUGGAAUUCCGCGUGUAGCAGUGAAAUGCGUAGAGAUGCGGAGGAACACCGAUGGCGAAGGCAGCCCCCUGGGCUAGCACUGACGCUCAGGCACGAAAGCGUGGGGAGCAAACAGG